ACCAAGCUGAGCAUCACCCGAUGCUCGAUCGGGUGCCGGAUGCCCAGCAGAUGGCGGGAAGAGCGAUGGCUCCGAGGGGGAAGAGCCACAAGGUCACAGCUGACACAUGAGGGCUGGACUGCAAGGCAGUGAAAGAUUAAUGGUUUCCUCCUUGUCUUGGUGCUCAGUGGAGGCCCUCUCCCCCCCAGCCACCCAUGCGUGGUUCAGUGUGGGGCUGAGCAGCUGCCUUCCUCAGAUGUGAUCCUGGUGGCCCUUUGGCUGAAGAACAUUGGCAGAAUUGGAGGUCCCACUGAGACUGAGCUGACACCUUCACUGCCUUGGACCAGGGCCCUCACUCAACUCAGUAACUGUGCGCACAUCGUUUAGGGGGUGGGCACUAGGUCCUGGCGGUUUUUUUUUGUUGUUUUUUUUUUUUUUAAAGCUCCCUAGGUGAUUAGAAUGUGCAUCCUGGCUUUUGAGGGAUGGGGUGACAAGCCAUUUCAGGAGGUCACAGAGGGGUCGGAAGGGCAGCGCCUGUAAAGCAGUGACCUUGGUCCCUGCCUGUGGUAUUCAGUUAGUGUGAACUGUCAUUUCUUUUUUGCUGUGCCUUCUUCAUUUUGCU
Molecule: long non-coding RNA, 601 nt
Filed under: Mustela putorius furo (domestic ferret)
Lineage: Eukaryota; Metazoa; Chordata; Mammalia; Carnivora; Mustelidae
Description: lncRNA (ENSMPUG00000024684.1)
Source: RNAcentral